RNAcentral lists this long non-coding RNA (2132 nucleotides) under Vulpes vulpes (red fox). RNAcentral's name for it is "lncRNA (ENSVVUG00000001747.1)". The record is from RNAcentral. Lineage: Eukaryota; Metazoa; Chordata; Mammalia; Carnivora; Canidae.
UUCAAUGCGAUUCGAUUCUUUUCUAUUCGAUUCGAUUUGGAUUCAAUGCGAUUCGAUUCUUUUCUAUUCGAUUCAAUUCUUUUCUUUUCUAUUCUAUUCUAUUCUUUUCAAUUCGAUUCUUUUAUAUUCUCUUCGAUUCGAAUCGAUUCUUUUCUAUUCUAUUCCAUUCGAUUCAACUUGAUUCUUUUCUAUUCUAUUCUAUUCUAUUCUAUUUGAUUCUUUUCUAUUUGAUUCGAUUCGAAUUGAUUCUAUUCGAUUCUUUUGUAUUCGAUUCUUUUCUAUUAGAUUCGAUUUGAUUCUUUUAUAUUCUCUUCAAUUCGAUUCAAUUCUUUUCUUUUCUAUUCUAUUCUUUUCCAUUCGAUUCGAUUCUUUUCUAUUCUAUUCUUCUAUUCUAUUCUAUUCUAUUCUGUUCUGUUCUGUUCGAUUUUCUCCUAUUCUAUUCGAUUCUUUUCUAUUCGAUUCUGUUCUAUUCAAUUCUGUUCUAUUCGAUUCUUUUCUCUUCGAUUCGAUUCUUUUAUAUUCUCUUCAAUGCGAUUUGAUUCUUUUCUAUUCGAUUCGAUUCGCUUCUAUUUUAUUCUAUUCGACUUGAUUCGAUUCGAGUCGAGUCGAUCCUUUUCUAUUCUCUUCUAUUCGAUUCAAUUCAAAUUAGAUUAGAUUCAUGUAUUAUCUAUUCUAUUCGACUCUAUUCUUUUUUAUUCAAUUUGAUUCGAUUCUUUUCUAUUCGAUUCGAUUUGAUUCCUGUCUAUUCGAUUCGAUUCGAUUCAUUUCUUUUCUGUACUAUUCUAUUAUAUACUAUUCGAUUCAAUUCUUUUCUAUUUGAUUCAACUCGAUUCUAUUCUAUUCGAUUCGAUUCUUUUCUAUUCGAUUCGUUUCUAUUCUUUCCUAUUCUAUUCUUUUCUAUUCGAUUAUUUCCUAUUCUAUUCGAUUCGAUUUAAUUCGAUUCUUUAUAUUCGAUUUGAUUGGAUUCUUUUAUAUUCGAUUCUAUUCGACUCGUUUCUUUCUAUUCUAUUCUAUUCCAUUCUAUUUGAUUCUUUUCUAUUCGAUUCAAUUCGAUUGAAUUCUUUUCUUUUCCAUUCUCCUCGAUUUGAUUCUUUUCUAUUCGAUUCGAUUAUUUUCUAUUCUAUUCAAUACGAUCCUUUUCUUGUCUAUUCUAUUCGAUUCGAUUCUUUUCGAUUCAAUUCGAUUCUAUUCUUUCUAUUCGAUUCUACUCGAUUCGAUUCUUUUCUAUUCAAUUCGAUUCAAUUCUUUUCUAUUCUAUUCGAUACGAUUCUUUCCUAUUCUAUUAGAUUCAAUUUUUUUCUAUUCAAUUCAAUUCUCUUCUUUUCUGUUUGAUUCUACUCGAUUCGAUUCGAUUCUCUUCUAUUCACAUCCAUUCUCUUCUAUUGGAUUUGAUUCAAUUCCUUUCCUAUUUUUUUUUAUUCGAUUCGAUUUUUUCUAAUCGAUUCUAUUUGAUGUGUUUUGAUUCUUUUCGAUUCAACUCGAUUUUUUUCUAUUCAAUUCGAUUAGAUUAUUUUUUAUUCGAUUCGAUUCUUUUCUAUUCUACUCUAUUCUAUUUUAUUCAAUUUGAUUCUUUUCGAUUCGGUUUGAUUUUCAAUUCUUUUAAAUUUGAUUCAAUUCUUUUCAAUUCAAUUCGAUUCGAUUUGAUUCUUUUUUAUUCAAUUUAAUGCGAUUCAUUUCAAUUCAAUUCGAUUCUUUUCUAUUCUAUUCAAUUUGGAUCUUUUCUAUUUUAUUCGAUUCGAUUCCUUUACUAUUUUAUUCGAUUCGAAUCUUUUCUAUUCUAUUCUAUUCUAUUCAUUUCUUUUCUACUCAAUUCGAUUCGAUUCUUUUCCAUUCGAUUCGAUUCUUUUCUAUUUGAUUCGAUUCUUAUCUAUUCUAUUCGAUCGAUUCUAUUCUAUUUGAUUCUUUUCUAUUCUAUUUGAUUGUUUUCUGUUCUAUUCGAUUAGAUUUGUGUCUUUUCUAUUCGAUUCGAUUCGAUUCUUUUCUAUNCAAUUCGAUCUUUUCUAUUCAAUUUGAUUCUUUUCGAUUCGAUUAUUUUCUCUUCGAUUGUUUUCUAUUCUUUUUGAUUGGAUUUGAUUCGAUUCUUUUAUUCUAUUCUAUUCUAUUCUAUUCUAUUCUAUUUGAUUCUUUUCUAU